This 249-nucleotide ribosomal RNA is filed under the name uncultured bacterium. Its description in RNAcentral is "partial small subunit ribosomal RNA". It matches the Rfam family "Bacterial small subunit ribosomal RNA", at positions 26 to 284 of the family's 1533-position model. The record is from RNAcentral.
AGGACAAACGCUGGCGGCGUGCCUAAGACAUGCAAGUCGGACGGGAGGCUUCGGCCUCUAGUGGCGGACGGGUGAGGAGCGCGUGGAUGACCUGCCCCGUGAUGGGGGAUACCAGCCAGAAAUGGCUGUUAAGACCGCAUGAGACCCACUGGUGCGAGUUGGUGGGGGAAAGCCGCGAGGCGUCAUGGGAGGGGUCCGCGUCGGAUUAGCUAGUUGGUGGGGUAAAAGCCUACCAAGGCGACGAUCCGU